GCCUGGAUAGCUCAGUUGGUUGAAGCAUGGUACUGAGAAUGCCACGGUUGAAAGUUCAAUCCCUGUAUGAGACA
Molecule: non-coding RNA, 74 nt
Organism: Podarcis lilfordi (Lilford's wall lizard)
Lineage: Eukaryota; Metazoa; Chordata; Lepidosauria; Squamata; Lacertidae
Source: the annotation of a GenBank genome assembly